RNAcentral lists this long non-coding RNA (1324 nucleotides) under Homo sapiens (human). Its description in RNAcentral is "HSALNT0302158". The record is from RNAcentral. Lineage: Eukaryota; Metazoa; Chordata; Mammalia; Primates; Hominidae.
AAUGUUACCAUCUGAGUUUUAUGCCUUUGGCUGAAACAUAUCCCUCCUGGGGCUCUUCCUCUCCAUUGCAGGCUCUCCAGGAGGAGCCCCACAUUGAAUCACUGCAACCUCUUGUGGACUAUUUUAUCAAAUGCUUUGGCAGGACCAGAGCAGCCUGGACUCUCAGGGAACCUGGCUUGGAGAGUGCGUGCUGGAAGAAGGGAGAAGGAUGAAGAAAUGGGAAGUGAAACUUUCCAGAGUUCACUCAGGAGGUUGAGGGGAGGCUGCUCUGAAAGGAGGCCGUCGCUACCCAGGAUGUGUGAGCUGUGAGCUGUGACAUCCAAGCAUUAGGAAGGAUCUGCUGUGGUGCCUUAUUCCAGAUGCUGCUGCUCGUCUCUUCCUGCGCUUGGCCUGGGAUGCCCUACAAUGCCCCAUACUGGCUAAGAAAUGUGAAAACAGCUGAAGAAGAAAUAAAGCAAAAGAGAAAAACAAGGAAAAAAGGGUAAACAAAGAGAGAAUUCACCUUUCACUCGCCUGCAAAGUCCUCGGUUGGAGAAUGAAGUUAAGACACAAAAGCUUAGCAACAACAACAUUGUGGGGGAAGGCACGAGAGGGAAGCCGAACAGCCAUUAAAGCAAUUAAGAAAAGAUUAAGGUCGCUGGUGGUGGAGAGAGAGAGAGACCCAUUAAUCAAUAGGCCAGAAAUCGCAGCAGGCUACAAAAUUAUAAAACUAGGCAAACUGGAGAACCACAGAGGCUCACCUCAACCAAGAUGCCUGAGUAACUCAAAAACAGAAACAUUAUAUUCAUUUCUCAAGCUUGGGGAAAAAAAAACAGGUCUUAGAAGAACUCUUUCCUUUUAAUCAGCUAAUGGAGACUUCCUGAGGUGGGGGUGAGAUCCAUGUUGAUUUCAAGGCAAAUUCUAAAGCAUCAAGGUCUAAAGAAAAAUUUGUAAUAAUGAGUGAUAAACAAUGUUAGUGGGCUGAGGGGAUAUCAUAGCAGAAAGCUGUGCGGUAAUCUUAGGCAGGGUCCUAAAAUGCCCUAGGGUAGGUUACAUUAUUGUUCACAAAUAUUUGCUGCCCCUGCCUGGGGAAGACAUACAUCCCAGCCCCACUGACAGCCCGCUUGGCUCUCUGACUUGCUUUGGCCAAUGCAGUACGUGUCCCUUCCAGGCGGAAGCUUUAAGAGCCAGGGGCACAUGGUUUGCCAUAUGCUUUUUGUCCCUUUGCAAUAAUAGCACAGCAAUAUUCUAGAUCCAACUUGUCCAACCUGCGGCUGGCUGGCCACCUGUGACCAGCUUUGAAUGCAGCCCAACACAAAUUCAUAAACUUUCUUAACACAUUAUG